AUUGAACGCUGGCGGCAGGCCUAACACAUGCAAGUCGAACGAGUGGCGGACGGGUGAGUAAUGUCUGGGAAACUGCCCGAUGGAGGGGGUUAACUACUGGAAACGGUAGCUAAUACCGCUUACUAUCGGAGGUGCCCCGAGGGGCUUAGCUAGUAGGUGGGGUAACGGCUCACCUGGGCGACGAUCCCUAGCUGGUCUGAGAGGAUGACCAGCCACACUGGAACUGAGACACGGUCCAGACUCCUACGGGAGGCAGCAGUGGGGAAUAUUGCACAAUGGGCGCAAGGCUGAUGCAGCCAUGCCGCGUGUAUGAAGAAGGCCUUCGGGUUGUAAAGUACUUUCAGCGAGGAGGCGUUACUCGCAGAAGAAGCACCGGCUAACUCCGUGCCAGCAGCCGCGGUAAUAC
Molecule: ribosomal RNA, 406 nt
Filed under: uncultured bacterium
Lineage: Bacteria
Description: partial 16S ribosomal RNA
Rfam family: Bacterial small subunit ribosomal RNA
Source: RNAcentral